UACUCCCAGAAAGUGAGGAUCGAUGGAUUGUUUCUCCUGCACUGGAUAAAUGGAUAUUCAAUCUCUUAAUGUUGAAAAGGAGUGAGUGCCAUUGUGCCACAAGAAAACUUUUGUUUUAUUUGUAGUUCUCGGCUCAUGUUAAAUUGGUUCCACAAUAUCACUUACCCAAAAGAAAUGUGGGACUUCAAGUACAGUACAGAAGAACACAAAGUCUGUGACCUCCAGAGAUGCUGGGAAGCCAUCAGUUGAGUUGCUGCAACGCCAUGGUCUCUUCUAUAGUCUUCAUCAAAAAUGCUCUUCAAGGAGACUCCCCGAAUCCAGAAAUGCCUUGACAAGUUCGCCAGCGUACCCGUACGAUCUUUAGAUAGAGACGCCGAAUACAACACACAACUCUGCUUGCUGUGUUAUUGUAGGACUUUAUAUAUUUUUUGGUGGCGUACCCUGCAACAGCAUGUUUGUUGGUAUGACUGUUUUUACUUCUGUUUAGAAGGCAACCCAGCUAAGAGAUAGAGUUUCACAGACAUGAAGAGUGUGAAGUGACCUGACAUGUAUGUACCAGAUCUGCUUGAUGAAAGUCAAAUGCCUUACUAAAUUCAUCACCCAUAUGAUAAAGCAUCAGGAAAUUUAUCUCAACAUGUUGAGUAAUGCUGUU
Long non-coding RNA from Daphnia pulicaria, 652 nucleotides. RefSeq lists it as uncharacterized. The transcript is spliced from 5 exons. NCBI's taxonomy places the organism in Eukaryota, Metazoa, Arthropoda, Branchiopoda, Diplostraca, Daphniidae. The record is from RefSeq and is a predicted model, not a curated record.